Molecule: ribosomal RNA, 332 nt
Filed under: uncultured bacterium
Lineage: Bacteria
Description: bacterial SSU rRNA
Rfam family: Bacterial small subunit ribosomal RNA
Source: RNAcentral
CGCGUAGGCGGGAUGGCAAGUCGGUCGUGAAAUCCUUCGGCUCAACCGAAGAACGUCGAUCGAUACUGCUGUUCUUGAGGGUUGCAGAGGAGACUGGAAUUCCCGGUGUAGCGGUGAAAUGUGUAGAGAUCGGGAGGAACACCGGUGGCGAAGGCGGGUCUCUGGGCAACUCCUGACGCUGAGGCGCGAAAGCGUGGGGAGCAAACGGGAUUAGAUACCCCGGUAGUCCACGCUGUAAGCGAUGACGACUAGGUGUGGGGGGGUUCAGUCCCUUCCGUGCCGCAGCUAACGCAUUAAGUCGUCCGCCUGGGGAGUACGGCCGCAAGGUUGAA